RNAcentral lists this ribosomal RNA (327 nucleotides) under uncultured eukaryote. Its description in RNAcentral is "partial 18S ribosomal RNA". It matches the Rfam family "Eukaryotic small subunit ribosomal RNA", at positions 1470 to 1796 of the family's 1831-position model. The record is from RNAcentral.
CCCUUAGAUGUUCUGGGCCGCACGCGCGCUACACUGAUGCAUUCAACGAGUCUAAAACCUGGUCUGAUAGGGCUGGGUAAUCUUUGAAUCUGCAUCGUGACGGGGAUAGAUUAUUGCAAUUAUUAAUCUUCAACGAGGAAUGCCUAGUAGGCGCAAGUCAUCAGCUUGCGUCGAUUACGUCCCUGCCCUUUGUACACACCGCCCGUCGCUCCUACCGAUUGGGUGUGCUGGUGAAAUGUUCGGAUCGGCCGUUUGUCGCGGUUUCCGCGUCAUGUGGCUGAGAAGUUCAUUAAACCCUCCCACCUAGAGGAAGGAGAAGUCGUAACA